This 404-nucleotide ribosomal RNA is filed under the name Brucella melitensis. RNAcentral describes it as "partial 16S ribosomal RNA". It matches the Rfam family "Bacterial small subunit ribosomal RNA", at positions 355 to 776 of the family's 1533-position model. Lineage: Bacteria; Pseudomonadati; Pseudomonadota; Alphaproteobacteria; Hyphomicrobiales; Brucellaceae. The record is from RNAcentral. RNAcentral also lists the same sequence under 2 other names.
UGGGGAAUAUUGGACAAUGGGCGCAAGCCUGAUCCAGCCAUGCCGCGUGAGUGAUGAAGGCCCUAGGGUUGUAAAGCUCUUUCACCGGUGAAGAUAAUGACGGUAACCGGAGAAGAAGCCCCGGCUAACUUCGUGCCAGCAGCCGCGGUAAUACGAAGGGGGCUAGCGUUGUUCGGAUUUACUGGGCGUAAAGCGCACGUAGGCGGACUUUUAAGUCAGGGGUGAAAUCCCGGGGCUCAACCCCGGAACUGCCUUUGAUACUGGAAGUCUUGAGUAUGGUAGAGGUGAGUGGAAUUCCGAGUGUAGAAGUGAAAUUCGUAGAUAUUCGGAGGAACACCAGUGGCGAAGGCGGCUCACUGGACCAUUACUGACGCUGAGGUGCGAAAGCGUGGGGAGCAAACAGG